This 495-nucleotide ribosomal RNA is filed under the name uncultured bacterium. RNAcentral's name for it is "bacterial SSU rRNA". It matches the Rfam family "Bacterial small subunit ribosomal RNA", at positions 903 to 1397 of the family's 1533-position model. The record is from RNAcentral.
AAAUGAAUUGACGGGGGCCCGCACAAGCGGUGGAGCAUGUGGUUUAAUUCGAUGCAACGCGAAGAACCUUACCAGGUCUUGACAUCCAAAGAAUCCUAUCGAAAGUUAGGAGUGCCUUCGGGAGCUUUGAGACAGGUGGUGCAUGGUUGUCGUCAGCUCGUGUCGUGAGAUGUUGGGUUAAGUCCCGCAACGAGCGCAACCCUUGCCACUAGUUGCUAACAGAUUAAGCUGAGCACUCUAAUGGGACUGCCGGUGACAAGCCGGAGGAAGGUGGGGAUGACGUCAAAUCAUCAUGCCCUUUAUGACCUGGGCUACACACGUGCUACAAUGGAUGGUACAGAGAGCAGCGAGACCGCGAGGUGGAGCGAAUCUCAAAAAGCCAUUCUCAGUUCGGAUUGGAGUCUGCAACUCGACUCCAUGAAGUCGGAAUCGCUAGUAAUCGCGAAUCAGCAUGUCGCGGUGAAUGCGUUCCCGGGCCUUGUACACACCGCCCGU